GAGCUCUUCAAUCAGAAAGGAAGCACCUUUUUCUACCUCUCAAUCAGAAAAUCUUCUUUGUUGGAAACGAAAGACUAAGGAGAGGAAACAAGAUAUUCUACAGCUUAGAAAAGAUCUAAAAGAAAUAAAUCUUUCGCCAGAUUCAACGACGUACUUCGCUAUAGAUUUCUAAGACAAGGUUUGUUAUGACGUUAUGAAUAUCGCCUUUGAUGCUGUUUUGAGGUUCAGUGAAUUAAUUGAAACAAUAUUUUGUCAACCUUCUCAUGUAUUUUGUAGAGUAAGGAUGUUACAUUAUUCACUCAAAUGGUUCACCAUAAUGUCAGUUGCUUCUCUUGCAUGAAAAUGGCGUAGUUAUUGUCAGUUCAGAUGAUAAUGUUGGCAUUCUAUAUCCAGAGAAGACCAUUCUAAUUCACUUUUAAGGGGAAAAAUUAUUAAAGCCUUGGCUACCUUUGAUCAUAAUAAAACUCAACAAGAAGCAUUGCACCACUUUUAGAUUUUAUUGAACAACAGAAAAAAAAGGUGUACUUCAGAUAGGUGUAAAGGUUAUUGAAUUAGAUGAAGAUUGGAUAAAUAAAUUAAGGUCUGUUUCUUUUGAUCCUGCACAUUUAGAAGGAAAUUCAAGAGAGUGACUGUUGACAAUUUCCAAUUGCCCUGUGUUUUGCAAUGACCAUAAAUAAGAGCCAAGGUCAAUCUCUUUCUCAAGUCGGUUUGUAUUUACAACGCCUUGUAUUCACUCAUGGUUAAUUCUAUGGGGCUAUUUCAAGGGUAAAGUCUAGAAAAAGAUUGAAGAUUCUUAUUUUAUAUUGUGACAGUGCUGCUGCAUUAGUUUUAGUGAGUGGAGAGAUAACAUUGAAUCUUGGUCUAAAAGUUAUUGUGAAAAUCAGGGGAUAUGUUGAU
Molecule: long non-coding RNA, 897 nt
Organism: Vicia villosa (hairy vetch)
Lineage: Eukaryota; Viridiplantae; Streptophyta; Magnoliopsida; Fabales; Fabaceae
Exons: 3
Source: RefSeq, a predicted model, not a curated record